This 1336-nucleotide long non-coding RNA is filed under the name Sus scrofa (pig). RNAcentral's name for it is "lncRNA (ENSSSCG00000062951.1)". Lineage: Eukaryota; Metazoa; Chordata; Mammalia; Artiodactyla; Suidae. The record is from RNAcentral.
AUGGAAAGAAUAGGGGUCAUCUAAGAGUCUCCUUUCGCGCAUACACACAUCUUCUGCUUUCUUCCUAAAAGUUACCAACCUGUAAGAGUAUCAAAGUCGCUAUACUUCAUUCUUGAUUUUCUUUUGAGUGCUUUUUUUUUUUUAAGCCUUCCUUUUCUCAUCCCAAUCCUUCCCUUUCCGUACACUCCCUCCAGGACCUCCCCUCCCCCCAGCCACCAGCAGUUAAAAUAAUCCACCUCUUAGUUUUCGGGCCCCCAAACCGACCUUUUCCCCACUCCAGCGGCCAGUUUACCGAGAUCUUUUCCUGAGGAUGGAGGCCCAGGUGGAUCCGGGAAAUAUAUGCUGUAGUGUUAUGUUUCGAGUUUCUUUUCUGCCUUCCGAUAUCUGUUAUUUUUUUUCCCUCCAUCCAAGACUCUGGCUGAGGUUGUCUGAAGGAUGCCGAGGAAAAAGACCUAAGGACUGGGAGCUCUCUUACCCCAAGAUAGAUUGCUGGAUUUUAUUUCACUGCUUACUUCUUCAAGCUGGUGGAGUGCAUUCUUUAAGAGCUACCUGAGAAAGACUAGGAAAAGCUUUUUUUCUUUAUAAUUGUGACAAAAUCGUUCUAUGGAGAAACAAGCUUUCAGUCACCAAGGUAAAAUAAUCAAGAAACAGGAGACUCGAGCAAAUGUAACAGAGAAGCAUCUCUGACUUCUAUACUUAUCAAAUAAAACAAAUUUUACACAAUAGAAGAAUGCAAGUCUAUAUUUUCUGGAAAGCUUGGAACACUUUUGUGGUAUUUGAGAUGAUACAUAAAGUGGUCUUUGAGUUACAAAGGGUAAAAGAAAAUCCUCUAAUUACAAACUGACAAAGGCAAAAGCUUUGGAGCAGCAGUGUCUCUUUGGUCUGCAUCGGAACUACCAUUCCUAUUGGUGAAGUGCUCAUCAUCAGAUCUUUGCCUAUCAUUGGACAUCUUGUGAAGUUAUUCUUGAAAAAUUUGUGCACCUGUCCUGCUCAUGCACUCCUACAGUGUGAGGGUGGGAGAGAGAAGAAAACCCCUUAAGGUAAUGGAUGCACCUGGGGGAGGGGGAGAGGAUGCCAGGGGAAAAAAGGAGGCUUGGGAUGGGGAGUGUAGAAUAUUGAAAGUAGGAGGGAAUUGUGCCCCUUAGAAUUUUUUUCCCAGAGUAGUUAAUUUUUUUUAAGGGCAUGGCCAAUGACCCUGUUUGGGGACAGGUUGUUUUUGGUUGAGGCAGGGGUUUGUGGAGAUAAAUAUGUAUGAUACAUGACACUCUGCCUUUGUCAAAACCCAUGGCACAAGAAUUAACUUUAAUGUAUGCAAAUAAAACAUCAUUUAGAAGGU